GGUCGGUUUGGCCGGAUUUCACACAGGUGUUGCAUGGCUGUCGUCAGCUCGCGUCGUGAGAUGUUGGGUUAAGUCCCGCAACGAGCGCAACCCUCAUCCUUAGUUACCGUCAGGUUAUGCUGGGGACCUUAAGGAAACUGCCAGUGAUAAACUGGAGGAAGGUGGGGAUGAUGUCAAGCCAUCAUGGCCCUUAUGGAGUGGGCUACACACGUGCUACAAUGGUGAUUACAAUGGGCUGCAAGGUCGCAAGGCUGAGCUAAUCCUAAAAAUCAUCUCAGUUCGGAUUGUUCUCUGCAACCCGAAAGCAUGAAGUUGGAAUUGCUAGUAAUCGUGGAUCAGCAUGCCACGGUGAAUACGUUCUCGGGUCUUGUACACACUGCCCGUCACGCCAUGGUAAUUGGUUUCACUCGAAGCU
Molecule: ribosomal RNA, 415 nt
Filed under: Wolbachia endosymbiont of Myzus persicae
Lineage: Bacteria; Pseudomonadati; Pseudomonadota; Alphaproteobacteria; Rickettsiales; Anaplasmataceae
Description: bacterial SSU rRNA
Rfam family: Bacterial small subunit ribosomal RNA
Source: RNAcentral